GGGGGUAUAGCCAAGAGGCUAAGGCAAAGGUCUGCAAAACCUUCAUCCCCGGUUCAAAUCCGGGUACCCCCU
This 72-nucleotide transfer RNA is filed under the name Paenibacillus polymyxa. RNAcentral describes it as "tRNA-Cys". It matches the Rfam family "tRNA". From Rfam's summary of the family: Transfer RNA (tRNA) molecules are approximately 80 nucleotides in length. Their secondary structure includes four short double-helical elements and three loops (D, anti-codon, and T loops). The record is from RNAcentral. RNAcentral also lists the same sequence under 7 other names. Lineage: Bacteria; Bacillati; Bacillota; Bacilli; Caryophanales; Paenibacillaceae.